UAAGAGCCCAAAGAAAGGGGGA
This 22-nucleotide non-coding RNA is filed under the name Rattus norvegicus (Norway rat). The record is from RNAcentral. Lineage: Eukaryota; Metazoa; Chordata; Mammalia; Rodentia; Muridae.